GCCUGUAUAGUCAAUAGUAACUUGGUUGAUCAUAGGAGAGCAAAAGAAAGGAGCAGAGGAAUUGUUGGGAUUAGGAAAUGGACAUGUGAAAGAGAACAAAAUUUAACUGAUUGGAGAAUCUAAAGAGAAAUUAAACAAGGUUACAGGAAUCAACAGUUGACAAGAAUUACUUGAACCACAUACAAACAACACCAACAGCACAGCAAUCAAACCAAAGUAAGAGAUCCACCCAACUUUCAACCUUUUCUCUCUGAAGAAUUCUUAAAAAUCUGCAGAGGGAAACUGUUCAUGCGUACUUGGGCUGAUGAAGAAGACCUCAUAAACAACGGCAGCAAUGCCAGCGCCGAGUAAUGGACCUAACCAGUAGACCCAGUGGUUAUCCCAUGUCCAGCUGACCACUGCUGGCCCAAAUGAGA
RNAcentral lists this unclassified non-coding RNA (416 nucleotides) under Hevea brasiliensis (rubber tree). The record is from RNAcentral. Lineage: Eukaryota; Viridiplantae; Streptophyta; Magnoliopsida; Malpighiales; Euphorbiaceae.